CCCUUAGACGUUCUGGGCCGCACGCGCGCUACACUGACGAAGGCAACGAGCUUUCCUUUACCGAAAGGUACGGGUAAUCUUUUGAAACUUCGUCGUGCUGGGGAUAGAUCCUUGCAAUUAUUGAUCUUAAACGAGGAAUUCCUAGUAAGCGCAAGUCAUCAACUUGCGUUGAUUACGUCCCUGCCCUUUGUACACACCGCCCGUCGCUACUACCGAUUGAAUGGUUUAGUGAGGCCUUCGGAUCCGCGACUCGUUUUGUGGAGAAGUUGGACAAACUCAGUCAUUUAGAGGAAGUAAAAGUCGGAACA
RNAcentral lists this ribosomal RNA (308 nucleotides) under uncultured eukaryote. RNAcentral's name for it is "partial 18S ribosomal RNA". It matches the Rfam family "Eukaryotic small subunit ribosomal RNA", at positions 1470 to 1796 of the family's 1831-position model. The record is from RNAcentral.